This 1254-nucleotide ribosomal RNA is filed under the name metagenome. RNAcentral's name for it is "bacterial SSU rRNA". It matches the Rfam family "Bacterial small subunit ribosomal RNA", at positions 251 to 1498 of the family's 1533-position model. The record is from RNAcentral.
GGUGGGGUAACGGCCUACCAAGGUGAUGAUACGUAGCCGAACUGAGAGGUUGAUCGGCCACAUUGGGACUGAGACACGGCCCAAACUCCUACGGGAGGCAGCAGUAGGGAAUCUUCCACAAUAGACGAAAGUCUGAUGGAGCAACGCCGCGUGAAUGAAGAAGGCCUUCGGGUCGUAAAAUUCUGUUGUCAGAGAAGAAUGUGCGUGAGAGUAACUGUUCACGUAUUGACGGUAUCUGACCAGAAAGCCACGGCUAACUACGUGCCAGCAGCCGCGGUAAUACGUAGGUGGCAAGCGUUGUCCGGAUUUAUUGGGCGUAAAGGGAACGCAGGCGGUCUUUUAAGUCUGAUGUGAAAGCCUUCGGCUUAACCGAAGUAGUGCAUUGGAAACUGGAAGACUUGAGUGCAGAAGAGGAGAGUGGAACUCCAUGUGUAGCGGUGAAAUGCGUAGAUAUAUGGAAGAACACCAGUGGCGAAAGCGGCUCUCUGGUCUGUAACUGACGCUGAGGUUCGAAAGCGUGGGUAGCAAACAGGAUUAGAUACCCUGGUAGUCCACGCCGUAAACGAUGAGUGCUAAGUGUUGGAGGGUUUCCGCCCUUCAGUGCUGCAGCUAACGCAUUAAGCACUCCGCCUGGGGAGUACGGUCGCAAGACUGAAACUCAAAGGAAUUGACGGGGGCCCGCACAAGCGGUGGAGCAUGUGGUUUAAUUCGAAGCAACGCGAAGAACCUUACCAGGUCUUGACAUCUUCUGACAAUUCCAGAGAUGGAACGUUCCCUUCGGGGACAGAAUGACAGGUGGUGCAUGGUUGUCGUCAGCUCGUGUCGUGAGAUGUUGGGUUAAGUCCCGCAACGAGCGCAACCCUUAUUGUCAGUUGCCAUCAUUAAGUUGGGCACUCUGGCGAGACUGCCGGUGACAAACCGGAGGAAGGUGGGGAUGACGUCAAAUCAUCAUGCCCCUUAUGACCUGGGCUACACACGUGCUACAAUGGACGGUACAACGAGUCGCUAACUCGCGAGGGCAAGCUAAUCUCUUAAAGCCGUUCUCAGUUCGGAUUGCAGGCUGCAACUCGCCUGCAUGAAGUCGGAAUCGCUAGUAAUCGCGAAUCAGCAUGUCGCGGUGAAUACGUUCCCGGGCCUUGUACACACCGCCCGUCACACCAUGAGAGUUUGUAACACCCAAAGUCGGUGGGGUAACCUUUUGGAGCCAGCCGCCUAAGGUGGGACAGAUGAUUGGGGUGAAGUCGUAACAAGGUA